GGACGAACGCUGGCGGCGUGCUUAACACAUGCAAGUCGAACGAUGAAGCCCAGCUUGCUGGGUGGAUUAGUGGCGAACGGGUGAGUAACACGUGAGUAACCUGCCCUGGACUCUGGGAUAAGCGUUGGAAACGACGUCUAAUACCGGAUAGGACCUUGGAUCGCAUGAUCUGGGGUGGAAAGUUUUUUCGGUCUGGGAUGGACUCGCGGCCUAUCAGCUUGUUGGUGAGGUAAUGGCUCACCAAGGCGUCGACGGGUAGCCGGCCUGAGAGGGUGACCGGCCACACUGGGACUGAGACACGGCCCAGACUCCUACGGGAGGCAGCAGUGGGGAAUAUUGCACAAUGGGCGAAAGCCUGAUGCAGCAACGCCGCGUGCGGGAUGACGGCCUUCGGGUUGUAAACCGCUUUUAGUAAGGAAGAAGGGGAGCUUGCUCCUUGACGGUACUUGCAGAAAAAGGACCGGCUAACUACGUGCCAGCAGCCGCGGUAAUACGUAGGGUCCGAGCGUUGUCCGGAAUUAUUGGGCGUAAAGAGCUCGUAGGCGGUUUGUCGCGUCUGCUGUGAAAUCUGGAGGCUCAACCUCCAGCCUGCAGUGGGUACGGGCAGACUAGAGUGCGGUAGGGGAGAAUGGAAUUCCUGGUGUAGCGGUGGAAUGCGCAGAUAUCAGGAGGAACACCGAUGGCGAAGGCAGUUCUCUGGGCCGUAACUGACGCUGAGGAGCGAAAGCGUGGGGAGCGAACAGGAUUAGAUACCCUGGUAGUCCACGCCGU
This 771-nucleotide ribosomal RNA is filed under the name Agromyces sp. RNAcentral describes it as "bacterial SSU rRNA". It matches the Rfam family "Bacterial small subunit ribosomal RNA", at positions 27 to 803 of the family's 1533-position model. Lineage: Bacteria; Bacillati; Actinomycetota; Actinomycetes; Micrococcales; Microbacteriaceae. The record is from RNAcentral.